CGCGGGAGCAAUCCUGGCGACGAGCGGCGAACGGGUGAGUAAUGCUUCGGAAUCUGCCCAGUAGUGGGGAAUAACCAACCGAAAGGUUGGCUAAUGCCGCAUACGACCUAUGGGUGAAAGCGGGGGAUCGCAAGACCUCGCGCUAUUGGAUGAGCCGAAGUCGGAUUAGCUAGUUGGUAGGGUAACGGCCUACCAAGGCGACAAUCCGUAGCUGGUCUGAGAGGACGACCAGCCACACUGGGACUGAGACACGGCCCAGACUCCUACGGGAGGCAGCAGUGGGGAAUAUUGGACAAUGGGGGCAACCCUGAUCCAGCGACGCCGCGUGUGUGAAGAAGGCCUGCGGG
This 347-nucleotide ribosomal RNA is filed under the name uncultured bacterium. RNAcentral's name for it is "bacterial SSU rRNA". It matches the Rfam family "Bacterial small subunit ribosomal RNA", at positions 72 to 422 of the family's 1533-position model. The record is from RNAcentral.